UCCGGUGGGUCCUGUGCUGGUACGGGAAGGCGACUGUUAAUCGCCUGGACGCAGGUUCGAUUCCUGCCGCCGGAGCCU
Molecule: transfer RNA, 78 nt
Filed under: Planctopirus limnophila DSM 3776
Lineage: Bacteria; Pseudomonadati; Planctomycetota; Planctomycetia; Planctomycetales; Planctomycetaceae
Description: tRNA-Asn
Rfam family: tRNA
About the family: Transfer RNA (tRNA) molecules are approximately 80 nucleotides in length. Their secondary structure includes four short double-helical elements and three loops (D, anti-codon, and T loops).
Source: RNAcentral